CCUACGGGAGGCAGCAGUGGGGAAUCUUGCGCAAUGGGCGAAAGCCUGACGCAGCAACGCCGCGUGCGGGAUGAAGGCCUUCGGGUUGUAAACCGCUUUCAGCAGGGAAGAAAUUGACGGUACCUGCAGAAGAAGCCCCGGCCAACUACGUGCCAGCAGCCGCGGUAACACGUAGGGGGCGAGCGUUGUCCGGAUUUAUUGGGCGUAAAGAGCUCGUAGGCGGUUCGGUAAGUCGGGUGUGAAACCUCCAGGCUCAACCUGGAGACGCCACCUGAAACUGCUGUGACUAGAGUCCGGUAGGGGAGUGUGGAACUCCUGGUGUAGCGGUGAAAUGCGCAGAUAUCAGGAAGAACACCAGCGGCGAAGGCGGCACUCUGGGCCGGUACUGACGCUGAGGAGCGAAAGCGUGGGUAGCAAACAGGAUUAGAUACCCUGGUAGUCCACGCCGUAAACGUUGGGCACUAGGUGUGGGUCUCAACCAACGAGAUCCGUGCCGCAGCUACGACAUAAGUCGCCCGCCGUCGGGUAGGUACGGCCGCGACGGACGUAAACCUACAAUAGAAGUUAGACGGCGUGAGACGUGCCGACGGACGACGACGAGGGAGGUAGG
This 610-nucleotide ribosomal RNA is filed under the name uncultured bacterium. Its description in RNAcentral is "bacterial SSU rRNA". The stretch from base 1 to 520 matches the Rfam family "Bacterial small subunit ribosomal RNA", at positions 338 to 873 of the family's 1533-position model. The record is from RNAcentral.